GCGUGGAGCAUGUGGCUUAAUUUGACUCAACGCGGGAAAUCUUACCGGGUCCGGACACACUGAGGAUUGACAGGCAAUAUAUGUGACUCUUCGGAGUUUGCAUUGUUAAAUAUGCUAGUCCUUUCAUGAUUAUGUGAUAGGUGGNGCAUGGCCGUUCUUAGUUCGUGGAGUGAUCUGUCUGCUUAAUUGCGUUUCAAAUUACUUAUAAGGUAGCAAUACGCGAUGAAGCUUUCAAUA
This 237-nucleotide ribosomal RNA is filed under the name Globigerinita uvula. Its description in RNAcentral is "partial 18S ribosomal RNA". It matches the Rfam family "Eukaryotic small subunit ribosomal RNA", at positions 1174 to 1376 of the family's 1831-position model. The record is from RNAcentral. Lineage: Eukaryota; Foraminifera; Rotaliida; Globigerinitidae.